AACGAACGCUGGCGGCAUGCCUAACACAUGCAAGUCGAACGAUGGUCUUCGGAUCAUAGUGGCGCACGGGUGCGUAACGCGUGGGAAUCUGCCCUUGGGUUCGGAAUAACAGUUGGAAACGACUGCUAAUACCGGAUGAUGUCGAUAAGACCAAAGAUUUAUCGCCCGAGGAUGAGCCCGCGUCGGAUUAGCUAGUUGGUGGGGUAAAGGCCUACCAAGGCGACGAUCCGUAGCUGGUCUGAGAGGAUGAUCAGCCACACUGGGACUGUGACACGGCCCAGACUCCUACGGGAGGCAGCAGUGGGGAAUAUUGGACAAUGGGCGCAAGCCUGAUCCAGCAAUGCCGCGUGAGUGAUGAAGGCCUUAGGGUUGUAAAGCUCUUUUACCCGGGAAGAUAAUGACUGUACCGGGAGAAUAAGCCCCGGCUAACUCCGU
This 435-nucleotide ribosomal RNA is filed under the name uncultured bacterium. Its description in RNAcentral is "partial 16S ribosomal RNA". It matches the Rfam family "Bacterial small subunit ribosomal RNA", at positions 29 to 506 of the family's 1533-position model. The record is from RNAcentral.